GGCCGGGAGCAGGGGCCUGGGGGUGGACAGGGUUUGACGUGUGCUGUGGCCUCGGGCAACGUCCCGUGUGCUGGGACUCCGUUUCCUGUCCUGUCACAGAGCACGGUCACGCAUCCCUGCUCCACGGAAGGGCCACGGAGAGCCCACGAGCCGGUGGGCGUGAGCGCCCGCACCCGGCCAGGUGCACGAUCCUUCUCUCUGCUUUCUCGACAGACACUCUCCACGGACUCGCUCCUGCUCUCUCGGAGCCGGCUGGAGGCAGCGGGAAGCCCAGGAGACCAGCGUGGAGAGCCGCUGGCGAGGAAGGCAGCAUUAGCCGGGCCAUUAGAGGCUGCCACAGCGAAGUUUCCUCCCCGCGGGCUGGCGAGCGGCAAAGCAGAGCCCGAGGGAGCUGACGGCCCGGCCUCGGCGCGCGGGACGGGAAGCGAACGGAGCCACGCUCCCCUGUGCGGGCAGCAGUUCCCGGGGGAGACACCCCCCACACAGGCACACACACGCCUAACAGCACGGAGAAACGCGCCGCCCGCAGCAGUUGGUAGCAUUAUGUAAAACCCUAAGCGCACAAAAAUAUCAUUUGGAUGAUAAAAAGUUAAAUUUA
This is a long non-coding RNA of Eptesicus fuscus (big brown bat), 598 nucleotides long. RefSeq lists it as uncharacterized. The transcript has 2 exons. The record is from RefSeq and is a predicted model, not a curated record. NCBI's taxonomy places the organism in Eukaryota, Metazoa, Chordata, Mammalia, Chiroptera, Vespertilionidae.